RNAcentral lists this ribosomal RNA (745 nucleotides) under Lichenothelia arida. RNAcentral describes it as "SSU rRNA". It matches the Rfam family "Eukaryotic small subunit ribosomal RNA", at positions 70 to 825 of the family's 1831-position model. The record is from RNAcentral. Lineage: Eukaryota; Fungi; Ascomycota; Dothideomycetes; Lichenotheliales; Lichenotheliaceae.
CAAUCUAUACGGUGAAACUGCGAAUGGCUCAUUAAAUCAGUUAUCGUUUAUUUGAUAGUACCUUACUACUUGGAUAACCGUGGUAAUUCUAGAGCUAAUACAUGCUAAAAACCCCGACUUCGGGAGGGGUGUAUUUAUUAGAUAAAAAACCAAUGCCCCUCGGGGCUCCUUGGUGAUUCAUGAUAACUUAACGAAUCGCAUGGCCUUGCGCCGGCGAUAGUUCAUUCAAAUUUCUGCCCUAUCAACUUUCGAUGGUAGGAUAGUGGCCUACCAUGGUAUCAACGGGUAACGGGGAAUUAGGGUUCUAUUCCGGAGAGGGAGCCUGAGAAACGGCUACCACAUCCAAGGAAGGCAGCAGGCGCGCAAAUUACCCAAUCCCGACGCGGGGAGGUAGUGACAAUAAAUACUGAUACAGGGCUCUUUUGGGUCUUGUAAUUGGAAUGAGUACAAUUUAAAUCCCUUAACGAGGAACAAUUGGAGGGCAAGUCUGGUGCCAGCAGCCGCGGUAAUUCCAGCUCCAAUAGCGUAUAUUAAAGUUGUUGCAGUUAAAAAGCUCGUAGUUGAACCUUGGGCCUGGCUGGCCGGUCCGCCUCACCGCGUGCACUGGUCCGGCCGGGCCUUUCCUUCUGGGGAGCCGCAUGCCCUUCGCUGGGCGUGCCGGGGAACCAGGACUUUUACUUUGAAAAAAUUAGAGUGUUCAAAGCAGGCCUAUGCUCGAAUACAUUAGCAUGGAAUAAUGAAUAGG